CGGGACACGUGGUAUCCUGUCUGAAUAUGGGGGGACCAUCCUCCAAGGCUAAAUACUCCUGACUGACCGAUAGUGAACCAGUACCGUGAGGGAAAGGCGAAAAGAACCCCGGCGAGGGGAGUGAAAAAGAACCUGAAACCGUGUACGUACAAGCAGUGGGAGCACGCUUAGGCGUGUGACUGCGUACCUUUUGUAUAAUGGGUCAGCGACUUAUAUUCUGUAGCAAGGUUAACCGAAUAGGGGAGCCGAAGGGAAACCGAGUCUUAACUGGGCGUUAAGUUGCAGGGUAUAGACCCGAAACCCGGUGAUCUAGCCAUGGGCAGGUUGAAGGUUGGGUAACACUAACUGGAGGACCGAACCGACUAAUGUUGAAAAAUUAGCGGAUGACUUGUGGCUGGGGGUGAAAGGCCAAUCAAACCGGGAGAUAGCUGGUUCUCCCCGAAAGCUAUUUAGGUAGCGCCUCGUGAAUUCAUCUCCGGGGGUAGAGCACUGUUUCGGCAAGGGGGUCAUCCCGACUUACCAACCCGAUGCAAACUGCGAAUACCGGAGAAUGUUAUCACGGGAGACACACGGCGGGUGCUAACGUCCGUCGUGAAGAGGGAAACAACCCAGACCGCCAGCUAAGGUCCCAAAGUCAUGGUUAAGUGGGAAACGAUGUGGGAAGGCCCAGACAGCCAGGAUGUUGGCUUAGAAGCAGCCAUCAUUUAAAGAAAGCGUAAUAGCUCACUGGUCGAGUCGGCCUGCGCGGAAGAUGUAACGGGGCUAAACCAUGCACCGAAGCUGCGGCAGCGACGCUGAUGCGUUGUUGGGUAGGGGAGCGUUCUGUAAGCCUGUGAAGGUGUGCUGUGAGGCAUGCUGGAGGUAUCAGAAGUGCGAAUGCUGACAUAAGUAACGAUAAAGCGGGUGAAAAGCCCGCUCGCCGGAAGACCAAGGGUUCCUGUCCAACGUUAAUCGGGGCAGGGUGAGUCGACCCCUAAGGCGAGGCCGAAAGGCGUAGUCGAUGGGAAACAGGUUAAUAUUCCUGUACUUGGUGUUACUGCGAAGGGGGGACGGAGAAGGCUAUGUUGGCCGGGCGACGGUUGUCCCGGUUUAAGCGUGUAGGCUGGUUUUCCAGGCAAAUCCGGAAAAUCAAGGCUGAGGCGUGAUGACGAGGCACUACGGUGCUGAAGCAACAAAUGCCCUGCUUCCAGGAAAAGCCUCUAAGCAUCAGGUAACAUCAAAUCGUACCCCAAACCGACACAGGUGGUCAGGUAGAGAAUACCAAGGCGCUUGAGAGAACUCGGGUGAAGGAACUAGGCAAAAUGGUGCCGUAACUUCGGGAGAAGGCACGCUGAUAUGUAGGUGAAGCGACUUGCUCGUGGAGCUGAAAUCAGUCGAAGAUACCAGCUGGCUGCAACUGUUUAUUAAAAACACAGCACUGUGCAAACACGAAAGUGGACGUAUACGGUGUGACGCCUGCCCGGUGCCGGAAGGUUAAUUGAUGGGGUCAGCGCAAGCGAAGCUCUUGAUCGAAGCCCCGGUAAACGGCGGCCGUAACUAUAACGGUCCUAAGGUAGCGAAAUUCCUUGUCGGGUAAGUUCCGACCUGCACGAAUGGCGUAAUGAUGGCCAGGCUGUCUCCACCCGAGACUCAGUGAAAUUGAACUCGCUGUGAAGAUGCAGUGUACCCGCGGCAAGACGGAAAGACCCCGUGAACCUUUACUAUAGCUUGACACUGAACAUUGAGCCUUGAUGUGUAGGAUAGGUGGGAGGCUUUGAAGUGUGGACGCCAGUCUGCAUGGAGCCGGCCUUGAAAUACCACCCUUUAAUGUUUGAUGUUCUAACGUUGACCCGUGAUCCGGGUUGCGGACAGUGUCUGGUGGGUAGUUUGACUGGGGCGGUCUCCUCCUAAAGAGUAACGGAGGAGCACGAAGGUUGGCUAAUCCUGGUCGGACAUCAGGAGGUUAGUGCAAUG
Molecule: ribosomal RNA, 1953 nt
Filed under: Escherichia coli
Lineage: Bacteria; Pseudomonadati; Pseudomonadota; Gammaproteobacteria; Enterobacterales; Enterobacteriaceae
Description: partial 23S ribosomal RNA
Rfam family: Bacterial large subunit ribosomal RNA
Source: RNAcentral